GUACCAUGUUUGUACUGAUUUUCUUUAUUGUUUAGUUUUACAUUUUUUGGAUCUAACUUGAUUGGAUUUUGACAGUUGAGAAGGCCAAGUACUCCUACAUUGUUGGGUUUCUUCUCACUGUUUCACCUGAGUCCAUUCUUCUAGUUGCUGAGCAUGCAGCUGCAAAGAACAAGGUUUGUCAUUGUGGCAGGAGGUUUCAAUAUUCAAAUCCAGUUCAUCCCUCCGUUUAUUUAACAUGCUCCCUUUGCUAGUAGUACAUUUUAAUUCUCUCUAGUCUGUUGGUGGGUUGUUUUGCAGCUUGAAGCUGCUGCAGUCAACUUAGUUGCUGGAGAGAAACCUGGCGAUGUUUACUCAGAAAUUGCUUCAAGGUAUGGUGUAUAAGUAUGUACUGUUAACAUAGGACUUUAAAUUGGGACAAACUGAACAUGAUUUUUUUCUUCUUUAUUUGCAGACUUGUAUACUUUGACAUGCCAUGUAGAUCACACUUGCCUUUAACUGUCCAGAUUUGAGCUUAGGCAACACUUCAGAAACAACCUUCUGCAUGUGGACAUGGUUCAGCCGGUUGUUACUUCCAUUUACGACUAUUUCCGAGAGGAAUGUGAUUUUUGUCUAUAAUGUAUCUCUUGGUUAUUCACUCUAUUGCUUUGGAUAAUUAAUUUUAUCUUUUCUUAUAGUUUUACUGAUAUAAAGUUCUUUAUUUAAAUGGAAUACCUGCUACGACUCAGAGUUGCACAUCAUAGAUGGGAUCCCACAGCUUAUUUUUGUUCGUUCAAGCUACAACAUAGAGGUUUGGUUCUUUUGUUAGUUUUAUGUCAUGUUUCAAACAAGCAUUUCAGACCAGGUGACUGAAUCUCCUUAAUUUGAAUCUCUCAUGAGCCUGUAUUUUGGGAUGGUAUAGCCAUAUAAUUUUGUAUUAUUUUGCUUAAAUGUCAGGUGUUAAUUUGGAUUGUUAUACCCAGUUUAAGUGCUUCCACCACUUAGUUUGUGUAGGUUAAGCCAAUUAGCUUCUAUCUAACGUAAAAACCCUGAGUUCCAUUUACGCUCACCUUAAUAUUUCUUAGCCCGUAUUGUUACAUCUUCCAUUUGAUUCUUCAUGAUCAUUAAUAAAUUUAUAUACUUGCAUGGGAAUUUCAAAUUGGGGGGACAUAAAGCCAUUGGAUCCAAAAACUGUAGCAAGUGUUGUUCAAUAUGGGAGACUAAGUUUAUUAUUGGUUCAUGAAGCAAAAGGGGACUCUCAUUUACAAUCAACUUUAUUCAUUUCAUUGCAUUACUAUUAACUUAGUGGAAACAGGGAAAUAUAAUUAUAUGAUUUUUAAGUCUUGCUAUGUUGUUGAAUUGUAUUGAACUUGCGUUAUUAGCCUAAAUAUAGUUAUUGAAACAGGUUCAGUAUUGUGAUUUUGUCCACUUUCUCUUGCUGAAGUGUAUGUUUAUUGACAUUUUUAUCUUGGGAUGUAUUUUGAAUGGUAUUAUUGGGAUGUAUUUUGAAUGGUUGAUACAUUUUGGCUAUAUAUCAUGACAUUAGCAUAUUGCAGGUGCAUUGGUAAUAUAGGUGAACCACAUCUUUUUUUUAUCUAUAACAUUUAAAAAACGUUGUCUGAUAUACUAAACAAUAACAUUUUUAUCCAAAAAACGCUGUGC
RNAcentral lists this long non-coding RNA (1638 nucleotides) under Panax ginseng (ginseng). Its description in RNAcentral is "long non-coding RNA (PGIN_LNC013153)". The record is from RNAcentral. Lineage: Eukaryota; Viridiplantae; Streptophyta; Magnoliopsida; Apiales; Araliaceae.